Long non-coding RNA from Balaenoptera acutorostrata (minke whale), 4385 nucleotides. RefSeq lists it as uncharacterized. The record is from RefSeq and is a predicted model, not a curated record. The transcript has 7 exons. NCBI's taxonomy places the organism in Eukaryota, Metazoa, Chordata, Mammalia, Artiodactyla, Balaenopteridae.
GAAUGUUCUAGUAGACUGAGUUUACUUUUAGUUGUCUUUGAUGAAACAGUCACUAUUCUACUCUCUUUCUUAACAGAAAUGUGUUUUUUCAAAGACUCACUUUUAAUUGCUUUAUUAACCAAAGAAUUCUUUUGCCCAAUUCCUUUGCUUUUCUGCUUUACAGGUGAGUCAGAGCAGGAAUGCAGGUCCUUCCCAGGUUGUUUCUUAGCAGAGUAUUUUUUGGUUUAUUCACCUGCUUUGCUCAUUUUCUCUGAAGAAGACCUGCUAUUUCUAGAUAAUUCCUCUUCUUUUCUUUGACUUCCAGUUCCAGAAAUGACGUCUGCUGAAGGGAGAACAUGUUCUAGCAAUGAAAUCUUCAAAAGACUCCUGCUGCUGCUCUGUGACUGGGACCCCCAGGUUGUCUUUGGAAGUUUCUAAGGCCUCCUGAGUAGAGACUGGGACAUGGAAGGAGUCGAGAGGCAAAGGAAGCCCAGCAUCACCUGUAAUUUUCUGAAACUGGAGGGAAAGACAAAAGACAAGACAAAAAUUCAGUGAUGAACAAAGCCAACCAUUAAAAAGUAGAGUUCAAAACGUCAAUGUUAUUCUGUGAUCUUAUUAUUAACACAGUAAUUGAUUAUUCAGAAGAUUUCAGAGCCAGUUUUUUUCUAAUUAUAUCUUGCCAAGUGAUUCUCAACUUAACCUAGCUAUAUCCAAGGCUAUGUCUGCUACAUUUUCAGACUUUGGUGAUUGGGGUAGUUAUUACCCAUUUCCUUUCCCUCACUAAAAAUGAAACCCUACUCUGUAAGAAAAUUAAUUUCUUUUCUAUCCUCCAGGCACAUGUAAACAGUAUAUAGUUUGUGACCAGACUGUGUUCUCAAGCUGUCAGUUCCCAAGACCAGUCUGAGAUUGGCUGAGGUGGGUGAAGGGGGCUCCAAGUAACGCUAGAGGAAAAGCUGACAUGUUUCCCCUCCCAUUCCCAUGACCAGACAACAGGAAGAGAAAAUAAAAAUGUAAACAAUGGGAGGAACCAAGAUGGCAGACUAGAAGGACGUGAUCUCACUCCCUCUUGCGAGGACACUGGAAUCACAACUAGCUGCUGGACGGUCAUCGACAGGAAGACACUGGAACACACCAAAAAGGAUACCCCGCAUCCAAAGACAAAGGAGAAGCCACAAUGAGACGGCACCCCAGAGAGAAGGUGUGGAACUAUUAGAAGCAACCUGGAUAUCAACCCUGCUUCUGGGAGGCAGUUCUGACUACAAGGGCAGGAGAUUCUCUGAAGCCAGCUCGAGAGAGGCUAUAUUCAUCUGUGUUGAUCACUGCUGUGUUUCCUGAACAUGCCUAUAAAACAUACUGAAGAAGGGUGCCUGAAAUUUGGGUAAAAUUGAAGCGUCCUGGCAGACAGGAGAAGUGACGGAAGGAGAGCUGCGUCUGGACCUUGGAGGAGGGCUGCGAUCUCACAGGAGAAGCAGGUGCGAGGGAGACCCUGGGGCAGCCACCGGGAGGCCAGGAGGCUGGAGUGAGCAUGCUCAGAGAGGCUGUGGUGGGAUCGUGGUCCGUGAGGAUGAGGGUGGAGGAAGUUACACAGGUGGGAUGGGGCCAGGUUUCACCUGACUCUGAAAGCCAGGCAGAAGGCAGACUAGAAACUUGAGGCUUGUGUUUCUCAAACCCCAGGCUACUCAUAAAUAUGCAGCAUCUUCCUGGAAACUCAGUGUUAUACAAAUAUUUGGGGCAACUCAUUCUUUAACUCAUGUACUAAAACAAACGUUCUGGAGUAGAAUACAAAAUUGACGUGACUUUCGUAAUAAAAUAUGCAUUUUUGAAGCCACUUUGGUUUAUGGCAGGUCCCUUGCAUGACACUGUCACACCCCCAGGGACUCUUCUCCAUAUGGGGUGUAUCACGGGACAGUUUGAGAAUUUCCUUAAGCAAUAGGAAAUGAGACCUCACUGCCCAAGGCUUUGCUCUGUGCCUGGAGCAUCUUUUCUGCCCCUGUGAGCAUCUUCUGGUCCCACUCCAAGAGCUGAUCUGACAUCUGGGCUAAUAGAGCAGAGUGACUGUGUGUCCCACGAAUAUUCGCCAAUGCCAAGAUGUGGUCCCUUAAUAUCAAGUGCUAGGACAUCUGUACGGUCCUUUGUAGGUUGAUUUGCCAUCAUACUCUCCACAGCCCUAGAAAUAAUAAUAUUACCCUGAUUUACAAAUGAGGGAAUGAUGUGCGGCAGGUUUUGUAAACAAGUUGGAUGGGUACUUUCGAGAAGACUGUAUGUCAGGACAUGGGUCCUGGCAGGCAGGGGGCCCCAGAGUCAUAUUCAUGUGUGCAGCCCUUUGAUCUGGAAGGUGCCUUCUGUCACGGUCAUCCGCCAGCUUCAUGGAAGGCAGCCGCCCUUCCUCAUUCAGUUCUCCAGCGUCUGUCAACUGGUGCAUUGCUGGACAGGAAUUCAUGACAGCGUUCAGCCCCAUGUUUCUUAUGAAGAAUUUAACUGAAGCAAACAGAAUUUAGGUGGGCAAUUUAGCCUUGGAGAUUGCUGUCUGUCCAUCUGUCUGUUUCUGUCUUUUUCUCUCUCUCUUUCAGGUUAUUGACAAUAUCAUCAUGAUUUGAAACCCCCAGAAUCACCUGCUUUUAUUUAGCAGGGUAUUGUAAAUAGUAAACUACUGUCUUCAAAGCUCAGGAAGCCCUGUCUAUUUUAAUACCAACUUUCUGAAGGCUCAUUAGUAAUUAAUGAAGUCAUUAAGAAUGGUUCACAGUGACUGACACCUUCCUGGCAACCACAAUCUCCUCUUGUACUUAGAGGAAAUGCCACUGGCUCCACAGCGCUCCAGGGAGUAAGAAGACAUGGAGUGAAGAGCUGCCUCAUUUUCCAGAGAGAAUAGGGGCACUGAGAGCUUGGAGGGACGGCGGUAGCUGUCACAGUCCUGAAUUUUUACCUCCUGGAAUCCAGGAUGGGCCCCUUCCCCACCCCGCCAGCUGGAUGAGUGAUCACAGUGGAAUAAUGAUGCCAGGAGGCUCAGAGGGCCGCUCCCACACCGGGUUGGAGGAGAGCCUUACAGGUUGUCAAUGAAACCUGGAAUUAUUUCCUUUGAUGGCUCAGGUAAUAGUAGGAGCCAAGGCAAUGAGUGAGGUCGUCUGAAACCAAUGCAGUCCUGCCCGGGACCCGGGAGCCAAUCGCAGGAGCAGAGGGCGGGGCAUCAGCGCCAGCAGAAAAUUGCUAAGUGCCUCGCUAGCACAGUUGGUCCGAGCCGCCGAAAGGUCUGGUCGCAGAGACGGGGACGCGUAAUCCUCAGCGUGCUCCAUCCCGACAGCAGCCCUCCACGGCUCGGCAGGGCAGCGAGCCUCUGGGCACCGGCCCCUCUGCUCCACGGAGAAGGUACUCCUGCUGCAUCCCGGCGGGGCUGCUCUUGCGUUUCCGUCCUCAGCGGCUUGCAGUUUAGCCUCUGUAGAGGGGUUGCAGAAAGAAAAGUUUAGGGGAGGAAAUGUGACAACGGAGGGAAAUCACCGUGUUUUGUUGGGAGGAAAACAAGCUGACGGUUUGGGAAACUUCUGUGCUGUCUAGAACUGGAUUGGUUUACUACUCUCUCAAUUAGCCGCGCUCAGGUCUGUGGAAAUAGGUCUGGUCUUGGGCUAGGGUGCCUGCCUGUUGGGGUGUAGAUUUGGAUUUGUUGGGUGAAGGGGGUUGAACCCUGGAUGUGCUGCUUCCUGGAGGGCGCAUUGCUGGGAGGCUGACUCUGGGAAGCGUGAUGGGUUGGUUGGGUUUUCCACCAUAGGGUCUUCCCCCUUGACUUUAUCCUGACCUGCUGUCCCCCAACUCUUGUGACCUUCAGUUUGAGUCCUUCCUCAAACUUCUGUCUCCUUCCUCGCCCCUCCCGCUUGCCGACUCUGUCUGCGCUCAUUUAAUGUGGUGGAAGGAGACAUUUCCUGGGGUGUGGGCGACUGUCCUGUUUGACCUGAUGGGCGUCUGCCUGUCACAUAACUUGGUGAGAAAGCAACAAAACGGUUCCCAGAGGAAAAGCCGUCACUCCACUGAUUAGCUCCCAAAAACUCUGGAAGACUGUCUGGGCUUGGUGUGUACUGAAAUAAAGGGGAUGGAGUGAAAUUGCAGCCCGUGUGAAGGUUACGCCCUCACCAGGGACAGGCCGUAGGGUGCUAAGGAAGCCCGAGGCUCUGGGUGCAUGGGGGCUGAGGGGCUGCUCGCACCGCCAUCCCUGCUGCCUGUGAUGACUGUUCUUCAAGGGAAGGGCUGGCCACGGCAGGAGGCUGGGCCAGGCUUGUAGCAUCCUUGUUCCUUUCUGAGCAGUUAGGACCACAAGGGCCCUGCUUGCUCUGAGUCCCACCGGUGGUCCUGAGGAGAAGCCCUUCUCCCCACGUUCUGCCACCCGGGAGGUAUUAGGUCAGUGGGCCUCCUAGGAAGCA